CCUACGGGGGGCAGCAGUAGGGAAUUUUCGUAAAUGGGCGCAAGCCUGAACGAGCAAUGCCGCGUGAAUGAGGAAGGUCUUCGGAUCGUAAAGUUCUGUUGACGGGGAAAAAAGACCGGGAAAGGAAAUGAUCCCGGAGGAGAUAUUACCCGUCGAGGAAGUCACGGCUAACUACGUGCCAGCAGCCGCGGUAAUACGUAGGUGGCGAGCGUUAUCCGGAAUGAUUGGGCGUAAAGGGUGCGUAGGCGGGCUUUUAAGUCAGCGGUAAAAAUUCGGGGCUCAACCCCGUCCGGCCGUUGAAACUG
This 305-nucleotide ribosomal RNA is filed under the name uncultured bacterium. Its description in RNAcentral is "bacterial SSU rRNA". It matches the Rfam family "Bacterial small subunit ribosomal RNA", at positions 338 to 635 of the family's 1533-position model. The record is from RNAcentral.